AUUCACUUACCUGCUCUGAUAAAUUCUGCUGCCAUCCUGAGAGCUGCACCACGGAGAGGCCCACAUGGCAAGGAACUGAGGGCUACCUUUACUGUAGCCUGUGAGAGACCAUGGGCCAAGGGAUCCAGAACAUCUUCUACAGUAGUGGUUGGUAAUCCUCCAUAUUUCAGCUGACACCUCUAUGUGAGCUGUGGUCAUCUUAGUGUCGAGAGAGUCCCCUCUGCCCACAUGAAAAACAGUCAGAGACGAGCUGUUUUGAAUCAAGUCUCCUGCUCUUGUAGACUUUUAGUUUGACCUUGGAAUGUUCAAGCAGACCUCUGCAUUUAAUCCAAGAUUGAGGCAAGUUUUCUCUCUGCCUAGGUUUAUCUUGUCUGUCUGUGAACAAAAGAGAGGAUAGCAAAGUACCUUGUUUGGAUUUGUCUAUAAAUGUGACCUUCCUAAACUGGCUAA
This 450-nucleotide non-coding RNA is filed under the name Pan troglodytes (chimpanzee). Lineage: Eukaryota; Metazoa; Chordata; Mammalia; Primates; Hominidae. The record is from RNAcentral.